RNAcentral lists this ribosomal RNA (804 nucleotides) under Triticum aestivum (bread wheat). Its description in RNAcentral is "partial small subunit ribosomal RNA". Lineage: Eukaryota; Viridiplantae; Streptophyta; Magnoliopsida; Poales; Poaceae. The record is from RNAcentral.
AUGCCCUCAUCCUCUGGUCGCCGCCGCCGCGGCCGUCGAGGCACCCGCCGCCGACACCGCAAUUCGACAAGGACCUGGGCAGAGCUGCCGCUGGUCGCCAUCUCGACCAUUCUCCACAAGCUCGACCACAUCGAGAUCCUGAUGGGGGCCGGCCAGGUGUGCCGCUCCUGGCGCCGCGCCGCGCGCGACGAACCCGAGCUGUGGCGUCGCAUCGACAUGCGCUUCCACGCCGAUCUCUUCUACCAGCUCAACCUCCACGGGAUGGCGCAGGCCGCCGUCCGCCGCAGCAAGGGGCAGUGCGAGGCCUUCUGGGGCGAGUACGCCGGCGACGACGACUUCCUCCUCUACCUCGGCGACCAGGCACCAUCUCCCAAAAGUCUUCGACUCAUUUCUUGCUAUGAUGUUUCUAACGAAGGUUUCACAGUUGCGAUAGAGAAGUUCCCUUUGCUUGAGGAGCUUGAGCUUUCAUUGUGUUCAAAUGUGGGUGAGGGUGGUGUGUUUGGGGUUGUUGGCAAAGCAUGCCCGCAGCUGAAGCGCUUCAGACAGAGCAAACAUUCAUUCUUUGAUUUUGAAGCCAGUGGCUACAAUAAGGACGAUGAAGCCCUGGGGGUUGCAACUAUGCGCGAGCUACGCUCUCUGCAGCUCUUUGGCAACAACCUCACCAACGAAGGACUGACAGCCAUCCUGGACAACUGCCAGCACCUGGAGUCCCUUGACAUUCGUCAUUGCUUCAAUGUCAACAUGGACGACACCCUGCGAGCAAAGUGUGGCAGGAUAAAUACGGUGAUGCUUCCACAUGACUAA